UGCAUGUUUUCUGUUUGAGAUGCACGCUCCUUUUUCUAGGGCCGACAGCUGGAAGUAGAAUUGCUAAGUUGCAGGCUAUGCAUAUACUGAACUUUAAAGAUACUGUCCAUGUGGUCGUCACAAUUUUUGUCUGAUUGGUGUGACAUCCAGCAGGGGACGAAAGUCAUCAUAGAUCCACAACCUCACCAGCACUGAUAAUCGGCAGGCUUUCAUGUCAGCCAGUCCGUCUGUGAUACAGUGGUGUCGUCGUGUGGCUUUUACCUGCUUUGGCCUUCCUUGUUAUUAAAGAGCUUGAGUGUGUUUUCGUGCACUUAUUGGCCAUUUGGAGUUCAGCUUUUGCAAACUUUCUAUUUAUUCAUUUGCCUUUAUUAUCUUAGGUACUAAGUAAAGUUCUUUGUAUGUUCUGUAUAGUCAGCGUUCUUCAGCUUAUUUUUUCAUGGCUUUCAGAAGCUUCUAAUUUUAGUGUAUAUACACUGUCAGUGCUGCCUUUGACAUUGUGUUUUCUCUUAGAAAUCAGUCUCUGAAAGUCAUGAAGAAAAUCUCUUACUAUUUUUUAAAGAUUUUAUGUAUUGACUUCCACAUUUAGGACUUUAAUCUACCUGGCAUUGAUUCUCUCAUAAUCGUAUGAAGUAGGGGUCCAAUUUGAUUUCUUUUCCUUUGUACAGAUAGUCAGAUUUCCUAGAACCAGUUAUUAAAAAUUCUGUGAUUUCCCCACUGUCUGUCAGGCCACGGUGUCCAUACCAAGCUUCUGUGUAUGUGUGAGUUUAAUUCUCAAGCCUGUUCCUCCGUUCUGUUUGUCACAUUGUCAGUACUUGCAGAAACAGCAUACUUUUUCUGUUCUUCUUCAGUGGCAUUUUGACUGUGGUUCGGCCAUUGCAUCUCCAUAAAAAAUUUAGAAUUAGGAAAUAAAAACUAUUCGUUAUAUCGAUUUUAAAAUAAAAUGCACAUAGUGUACUAACAUAUAUACAGCCAUCCUAUUAAUGUCUUGCUAGCUCUAAUUGUGAUUCUUUAGUUAUUAUUAAUACAGUUGUGUUGGGUGUGUUUUAUGUAUGCAGCCCUAUAACCUGUGCUUAUUAACAGUUUUUAUUUUUUUCAAAUGCUGUGUCUUUUUUUCCUCACUGAGAUUUUGGGCUUAUCUGUUGCAACACCUGGUUUCCUUAGCUAAUAGAAGAUGAUAUGAUAUUUACUGGAUCUAGUUAGACUUUGGAGGUCAUAAAGAAUAUUUGGCUGAAAUUUGGCCCUAACUCACGAACUCAGUAGUACAGAAGAGGAGAAAGUUAAGCUGCUGCCCUGGCUUUUAUGGAACAAAGCUAUGCUAAGAUCCAUUCUUCUUGUGAGAAAUAUUCCCAGACUCCUCUACUUGUGCAGCAAGACCCCUUUAACAUGUAGAAACGUACAAAUGAACAAAGUCUGAUGGUGUGUCCUAAAGCCAGUGAUGUUUCGUACACAUCUCUGGACCCAUAGAAACAUCAUAGCGAGCGACUGACGCAGGAAAUCGAAUCUGUGCCUGACUUAGUUUGUCUGGGCUCCCUGACUGUCGUCUGCUAGAAAAGAAAUACUGUUCCGUUUUACCUACACACUCCGGCCUGGGCCUGCAGGCUGGCGAUGAGUCCCUCACGUGGACACACGUUGCACAGUGUAUCUUGAAGAAGUCCCAGAGGUGCACAUCUGCCAUGACUGACGGCAGUGCCCAGUCACCACAUGGCAGGAAGGCAAGGACAAUUAAAAUACUGGUUAGUGAGCGCCUCCUAAAAGGAUCCGGGUUUUAUAUGUCUAGAAAUUUCAGAGUCAAGAUCAGGUGAGAUGAAAUGUCUAUAUGUUUUCCUGUGUGAAUGCUCACAAGAGUAUAUGUGGCAGAAGAAAUUCGCAGUAAUCAGAGGGGCAGGUUGGCCCAUCCUGAGCCGCUUCUUUCACUGACUCCUGUAACCUCAGAUCAAUACGCUCACCAGGCAGCUGGGAUGAAGAUCAUUCUGGGGCCCAACAGCUUGGCCUUCACCCCACUGAGUCUAAACGCAUCACUGUCACUGGUGGGACAUAGUCUCAAAGUUUCACGAUCCCUGUUGUUGUCUGUUAUGACGCCGUUUCCCUGGAGGAUUGGGCAGUGCCCCAGUGGACGUUUCCGUUUCAUGCCCUUCUUUGCUAAACAAACUCUCUUUUCGCUUGAAUCAAAGUUAUGCUGGAUAUGGGUGUGUCUUCUCUGACCUCAGUGCUGUAGGAACAUCACCAUUUGUGGAUUUACUGAGUGUCUGAUUCACUAUUAGGAUGUCGUAUGCACAAAUUGGUUUUUUUUGGACAAACCAUUCCAUUUUAGUAACAUCAAUAAUGCACUUACUAUGGAUGACAGAGUGGCUGAGGUCUGGGAGUUAGUCGGUCUUAACAUAGUUUUCUCUGAAACACUGUUUUCAGACAAAUUUGAAGUGACCUUCUGAAGAUUCAGUAACGGCAUCUCUACAAGCAGUAAGUAUAUUGCCCUACAAAAUGCGGUAGCGUUUCUGCCUGGAUACAACCUACUGUUCCGGUGUUGAAGAUUUGCAAGUGGUCUUACCUUGCAAACCACUAACGGACUUUUGUUUUCCAUCACCAGGAGUUUGUAUUCUUCUGGUUUAAAGGUAAAAUUUACCCGGAAACAAAACAUUCUUUCCAUAUGGUCCCUGUGGCACUUUGGGUCUCAAUCCCAUUGAGUCGACAAGGAAAGAAUACGCAUGUCGUACUUUGCAGUAUGUUUAAUGCUAAUAAGAGAAAGGAGGUAGAGAGGAAUGUGUUUGGAAAGCAUGGGCUCCUGAGGUUUACCCAAUCAACUCCUUUGUAACGUGUGCUAGUAGAAAAAAGCGGAAACACUGAUGGCCGAAAGGACUGGGUAGUAAAGUUUCAGGUGUUGAGGUGCUGACUAAAGGAAAGGGCAGCAUGAAAGAUGUGGUGAGAAAAAACAUUGCAAGUACCACCCCGUAGCUCUGCGACUGCAAUGCAGGCUUUCGUAACUGACUGUGUCCUCUUCCCUUCCAGCACGUCUGCACUUGGACCUGCAGUCACGUUUCCCUGUGUAAGGGUGGCGAGGAAUAUUUUCUCUUGCCCUCAUUAGGGAUGCGAGCGUUGCUCUUCUAUUCCCUAAAUACUUUAUAUGUGGUACAUUUUGCAUGACUGACUUAUAAAUUGAUUUUCUACUUGCAGAAAUGUAAGAGAGAGUCUAGACUAAAUAAGCAGGGAGUGGCUGCCUCUUUGAGAUGGGAACCACGACUGGGGGUACGUUCGUUAGCCCCUUUGGCUUUGUCUUCUGGCACCGACGCACAUUUAUUAUGCAGAGAAAGCUGUGAGUGGAAUUUUAGCAUCCAGAGUGAUGGAGUUGGGUGGACGUGUUGAUUGACGCUCAUAACCUUUCUUCUGCCUUGUAUUUCUAAGAUCGGGAUGUUAAAUGUCUCCUUUGUUUCUGGACGCCCUUAAAGUUAAGAGCUUUGAGUGUAAAUUAGUUAUCAGUUUAUAAGUUAGAAGUGAGGUAAAUCUAUACUUGCGGAGCAUUAUUGACAGAUAAGUUUGCUCUGACAGAAAUGAAUGUUAAGAGAAGCUGGAAUUCAUGUCUUAAUGUUUAAUUACCAAUCUUAUGUUCCAAGAAAACCCUGUUUUUUGUGAUAGUAUAUGCACUUUAUUUUAUUUUCUUGGAGUAUAGCUGACUCACAGUGUUGUAUCAGUUUCAGGUGUAAAGCAAAGUGAUUCAUUUAUACAUAUGCAUACAUCCAUUUUAUCCUAUAUUGGUAAUUACAGAAUGAAAUAGCUUUCCCUAUGCUAUACAGUAGGUCUUUGUUAAUUAUAUAUUUUAUAUAUAUGUGAGUGUAUGUUAUACGUAUCCUCCCAGUUUAUCCCUCUUGCCACCAUGGUUUCCCCCAGGAGAGCCAAAAUUUGAUUUCAAAAUUUGAGUUUGUUUCUGUUUUAUGCAUAUGUUGUUUUAUUAUUUUUAUUAGAUUCCACAUUUAAGUGGUAUCUUCUAUUUGUCUUUCUCUGUCUGACUUCUUGACUUCAGCAUGGUAAUUCCUAGGUCCAUCCAUAUUGCUGCAAAUGCCAUUAUUUCAUUCUUUUUAUGGCUGAGUACUGUUCCAUUGUAUACAUGUACCAUAUAUUCUUUAUCCAUUUAUGUUCCAUGUCUUGGCUAUUGUAACUAGUGCUGCAGUGAACUUAUGGGUGCAUGUAUCUUUUUGAAUUACGGUUUUCUUAGGAUAUGUGCUGAGGCUUGGGAUUGCUGGGUCAUAUAGUAGUUCUAUUUUUAGUUUUUUUAAGGAACGUCCAUUCUGUUCUUCACACUGGUUGUACCAAUUUACAUUCCCACCAAUAGUGUAACAGAGUUCCCUUUACUCCACCCUCUCUCCAGCAUUUAUUGUUUGUAGACUUUUUGAUGAUGGCCAUUCUGCCUGGUGUGAGGUGAUUCAUGACUGUAGUUUUGAUUUGCAUUUCUCAAAUUACUGCUGUUGAACAUCUAUGCAUAUGAUUUUUGGCAAUUUGUCUUCCUUGGAGAAAUGUUGAUUUAGAUCUGACCAUUUUUUGAUUGGGUUGUUUAGUUUUUUCCUAUAAACCUGUGUGAGAUGUUUGUCUAUUUUGGAGAUUAAUCCUUUGUCAGUUACUUCAUUUGCAAAUAUUUUCUCCCAUUUUGUAGGUUGUCUUUUCGUUUUCUUUAUGGUUUCUUUUGCUGUGCAAAAGGUGUUAAAUUUAAUUAGGUCCUAUUUAUUUAUUUAUUUAUUUUCCUUACUCUAGGAGGUGAAUAUGAAAAGAUAUUGCUUGGUUUACAUCAUUGAGUGUUCUGCCUAUAUUUUCAUCAAGGAGUUUUAUGAUAUCCAGCUUUAUGGAUUAUGGUCUUUAAUCCAUUUUGAGAUUAUUUUGGUGUGGUGUUAGACACUGUUCUAACUUCAUCCUUUUAUGUGGAGCUGUACAGAUUUCCCAGCACCACUUAUUGAAGAGACUGUCUUUUUUCCAUUGUAUAUUCUUGUCUCCUUUGUCAUAGAUUAGUUGGCCAUAAGUGCCUGGGUUAAUCUCUGACUUUUAUAUCCUCUUCCGUUGAUCUAUAUAUCUGUUUUCUUUUGCCAGUACAGUAAUGUUCUGACAACUAUAGUAAUAUGGUGUAAGUGAAGUCAGAGAGCCUGAUUAUUCCUCCAGCUCCAUUUUUCUUUCUCAGGAUUGCUUUGGAUAUUGGGGGUUUGUGUUUCCAUACAAAUUUAAUUUUUUUUUAUUCUAUUUCUUUGAAGAAUGCCAUUGAAAAUUUGAUAGGAAUUGCAUUGAAUCUGUAUCUUGCCUUUGGCAAUAUAAUCAUUUUGACAAUAUGGAUUCUUCCAAUUCAAGAGUAUGGUAUAUCUUUCCAUCUGUUUGUGUCUCUUCAAUUUCUUUCAUCAAUGUCUUAUAGUUUUCAUAAUAUAGGUCUUUUUUUCCCUCUUUUGGUAGGUUUGUUCCUAGAUAUUUUAUGAUUUUUGAUUGGUUGGUAAAUGGAAUUACUUUCUUAAUUUCUCUUUCCGAUGUUUCUUUUUUAGUGUUGAGAGAUUUCUGUAUGUUAAUUUUUUAUUCUGCAAUUUUAUCAAAUUUAUUGAUGAGCGCUAAUAUUUUUCUAGUAGGAUCUUUAGUAUAGUGUAUGUAUAGUAACAGGUCAGCUACAAACAGUAAUAUUUUACUUUUUCCUUUUCAUUUAGGAUUCUUCUAUUUCUUUUCUUCCUCUGAUUGCUGUGGAUAGAACUCCAAAACAAUGUUGAAUAAAGUAGUGAGAGUAGACAUCAUUGUCUUGUUCCUAAUCUUAGUUGAAUUGCUUUCAGAUUUUCACCAUUGCUAAGGAUGUUGGCUGUGGAUUUGUCAUUCCAUGGCCCCAUUAUGUCAAGGUAGGUUCCAUGUACCCAUUCAGAAGGGAUUUUUAUCAUAAAUUGGUGUUUAAUUUUGUCAGAAGUUUUUUCUGCAUCUAUUAAGAUGAUCAUAAGAUUUCUAUUCCUCAAUUUGUCAAUGUGGUGUAUCACACUGAUUUGUGGAUAUUGAAGAAUCCUUGCAUCCCCAGGAAAAAUCCCACCUGAUCAUGAUGUAUGAUCCUUUUAAUGUACUGUUGGAUUUGGUUGCUAAUAUUUUGUUGAGGAUUUUGUGUAUAUUUCAUCAGUGAUAUUGGUCUGUACUUUUAUUGUGGUAUCUUUGGUUUUGAUAUCAGGGUUAUCAUGGCCUCGUAGAAUGAUUUUGGGAGUGUUACCUCCUCUGCAAUUUUUUGGAAGAGUUUCAGGAGAAUAGUUGUUAAAUGUUUGAUAAAAUUCACCUGUGAAGCCAUUUCUUUCUGGAAUUUAUUUUGUUAGAAGUUUUUUAAUCAUAGUUUCAAUUUCAGUACUUGUGAUUGGCCUGUUCAUAUUUUCUGUUUUUUCCUGGUUCAGCCUUGAAAGGUUGUACCUUCAUAAGAAUGCAUCCAUUUUUUCUAAGUUGUCCAUUUUAUUGGUACAUUGUUGUUUGUAAUGGUCUCUUACUAUCUUUUGUAUUUCUUUGGUGAAAGUUGUAACUUCUCCUUUUUCAUUUCUAAUUUUAUUGAUUUGAGCCCUUCUCCCUAUUUUUCUUGAUGAUGGGGGCUAAAGUUUAUUAAUUUUGCUCAUGUUUUCAAAGAAUCAGGUUUUAGUUUCAUUGAUAUUUUGUACUUUUUUAUCUCUACCUCAUGUAUUUCUGCUCUUGAUGAUUUCUUUCCUUCCACUAACUUUGAGGUUUUUUUUUUUUUUUCCUAGUUGCUUUAGGUGUAAGGUUAGUCUGUUUAUCUGAGAUUUUUCUUGUUUCCUAGGAUAGGAUUGUAUUGCUAUAAUUUUCCCUCUUAAAGUUGCUUUGGCUGCAUCCCAUAGAUUUUGGAUCUUCUGUUUUCAUUGUCAUUUUGUCUCUUGGUAUUUUUUUAUUUCCUUUUUAAUUUCUAUACUGAUCCAUUGGUUGUUUAGUAGUGUAUUGUUUAUCUUCCAUGUGUUUGUGUUUACUGAUUUUUUUUUUCCUUGUAGUUGAUUUCCAGUCUCAUAACAUUGUGGUCAUAAAAGAUGCUUAUUGUAAUUUCAGUUCUCUCAAACUUAAAAAGACUUGAUUUUUGGCCCAAGAUAUGAUCUAUCCUGGGGAAUGUUCCAUGUGCACUUAAAAAGAAAGUAUAUUCUGCUUUUGGAUGGAACAUUCUAUAGAUAUGAAUUAAAUCUUAUCUUGUCAGGUGCAUUUCCUUAUUGAUUUUCUUUCUGGCUGAUCUGACCAUUGAUGUAAAUGGGAAUAUUAAUGUUUCCAAUUAUUACUGUAUUUUGUUGAUUUCUCCUUUGAUGGCUUUUAGCAUUUUCCUUUUGUAUUGAGGUGCUCUUAGGUUGGGUGCAUUUAUAUUUACAAUUGUUAAAUCUUCUUGGAUUGAUCCCUUGAUCAUUAGGUAAAGUCCUUCUUUGUCUCUUGUAACAUUCUUUAUUUUAUAGUCUGUAUUUUCUGAUAUGAAUAUUGCUACUCCAGCUCUCCUUUGAUUUCUACUUGGAUGGAAUAUCUUCUUCCAUCCCCUCACUUUCAGUUUCUGUGUCCCUAGAUCUGAAGUGGGUCUCUUGUACACAGUAUAAAUGUGGGUCUUACUUUUUGAAUCUAUUUAACUAGUCUGUGUCUUUUGGUUGGAGAAUUUAAUCUAUUUAUAUUCAGUUAAUUAUGGAUAUGUAUGUACUUAAUGCCAUUUUUAAAAUGUUUUUGAGUUUGUAAUAUUAGGUCUUUUUUCUUCCCUUCUCCUUUUGUCCUCUUGUGAUUUGAUGACUAUCUUUAGUUUUGUAUUUGGUUUGCUGUGUGUGUGUUUAUCUGUUGUAGUUUUUGGGUUUUGGUUCCCAUUACAUUUGUGUGAGUGUGUGUGUGGUUUUUUUUUAAUGAUUUUUAUUUUUUCCAUUAUAGUUGAUUUCCAAUGUUUUGUCAAUUUCUACUGUAUAGCAAAGUGACCCAGUAAUACACACACACACACACGUACAUUCUUUUUCUCACAUUAUCCUCCAUUAUGUUCCAUCAUAACUUACUAGAUAUAGUUCCCUGGGCUAUACCCAUUAGAUUUUGAUAUAGCAGUCUGUAUACAAACAGAAUUGCUUUAGGUUGCUGACCAUUUAAUUUCAAAUACAUUUUCUUUUUGUCUUUUUUUGGGGGGGCCUGCACCCAUAAUAUAUGGAGAUUCCCAGGCUAGGUGUUGAAUUGGAGCUACUCUUCUCAUGAUUGCUAGUUUUGAUAUCACAUCUGUCUGUGUAUGAUUCCUUCCUUUUUAUUUUGUUUGCUUUUAGCAGUGAGCUUCCACACUUGUAAUUUUCUUCUUUCGAGUUGUGUCCUUUUCUUUUCUCACUAGAAAAUUCGUUCAACAAUUGUUGUAAACCUGAUUUGGUUCUGUUGAAUUUUCUUUGAUUUUGCUUGUCUGAAAAGCUUUUGAUUUAUCCAUCAAAUCUGAAUGAGAACCUUGCUGGGUAGAGUAUUCUGGGUUGUACAUUUGUCCCUUUCAUCGUUUUAAAUAUAUCUUGUUACUCCCUUUUGGCAUGCAGAAUUUCUGCUGGAAAAAAAAAAAA
This 8513-nucleotide long non-coding RNA is filed under the name Sus scrofa (pig). Its description in RNAcentral is "lncRNA (ENSSSCG00045023819.1)". The record is from RNAcentral. Lineage: Eukaryota; Metazoa; Chordata; Mammalia; Artiodactyla; Suidae.